This 516-nucleotide ribosomal RNA is filed under the name uncultured fungus. RNAcentral describes it as "SSU rRNA". It matches the Rfam family "Eukaryotic small subunit ribosomal RNA", at positions 209 to 725 of the family's 1831-position model. The record is from RNAcentral. Lineage: Eukaryota; Fungi.
AUUAGAUAAAAAACCAACGCCCUUCGGAGCUUCUUGGUGAUUCAUGAUAACUUUACGGAUCGCAUGGCCUUGCGCCGGCGACGGUUCAUUCAAAUUUCUGCCCUAUCAACUUUCGAUGGUAAGGUAUUGGCUUACCAUGGUUUCAACGGGUAACGGGGAAUUAGGGUUCGAUUCCGGAGAGGGAGCCUGAGAAACGGCUACCACAUCCAAGGAAGGCAGCAGGCGCGCAAAUUACCCAAUCCCGACACGGGGAGGUAGUGACAAUAAAUACUGAUACAGGGCUCUUUUGGGUCUUGUAAUUGGAAUGAGUACAAUUUAAACCUCUUAACGAGGAACAAUUGGAGGGCAAGUCUGGUGCCAGCAGCCGCGGUAAUUCCAGCUCCAAUAGCGUAUAUUAAAGUUGUUGCAGUUAAAAAGCUCGUAGUUGAAACUUGGGUCUGGCUGGCAGGUCCGCCUCACCGCGUGUACUUGUCCGGCCGGGCCUUCCUUCUGGAGGACCUCAUGCCCUUCACUGGG